RNAcentral lists this ribosomal RNA (468 nucleotides) under uncultured bacterium. RNAcentral describes it as "partial 16S ribosomal RNA". It matches the Rfam family "Bacterial small subunit ribosomal RNA", at positions 28 to 507 of the family's 1533-position model. The record is from RNAcentral.
GACGAACGCUGGCGGCGUGCUUAACACAUGCAAGUCGAACGGAAAGGCCCUGCUUUUGUGGGGUGCUCGAGUGGCGAACGGGUGAGUAACACGUGAGUAACCUGCCCUUGACUUUGGGAUAACUUCAGGAAACUGGGGCUAAUACCGGAUAGGAGCUCCUGCUGCAUGGUGGGGGUUGGAAAGUUUCGGCGGUUGGGGAUGGACUCGCGGCUUAUCAGCUUGUUGGUGGGGUAGUGGCUUACCAAGGCUUUGACGGGUAGCCGGCCUGAGAGGGUGACCGGCCACAUUGGGACUGAGAUACGGCCCAGAGUGCUACGGGAGGCAGCAGUGGGGAAUAUUGCACAAUGGGCGGAAGCCUGAUGCAGCAACGCCGCGUGCGGGAUGACGGCCUUCGGGUUGUAAAACGCUUUCGCCUGUGACGAAGCGUGAGUGACGGUAAUGGGUAAAGAAGCACCGGCUAACUACGUG